This 1124-nucleotide long non-coding RNA is filed under the name Marmota monax (woodchuck). The record is from RNAcentral. Lineage: Eukaryota; Metazoa; Chordata; Mammalia; Rodentia; Sciuridae.
GGGCGAGAGUGAUAGGUCAGUCCUAAGGAGGGGGAUACAUUCAAACUGAUUGGUUUGGGCCCUGAGGUGCCUACGUGCCGAGCUGCACAGGGUCCAGGUUGUUAAGCAACUAAGUGGUCAGAGGGGGAUUUCGACACAUAUCUAAUGGGCAGUUCCGGGAAUUGUCUUAACUGCCACAGGAAUUUCAGGUUCUGAGUGCAGUUCAGAAACUUUACAAUACCUGGUCCUUUACAUUUUAACUUCGGUUUCUUUUAUCCUUUCAUUCCCCACUCCUUUUUCUGACUACUUUUAAUCUUAAAAGUAAUGAAUCAUAAUUAUUGGGGAGUCUCAUUCUCCAUCUCUGUCAGUGAAGCAUACUGCUGUCUGAUUACCAUGAGUUAUCCUGCAUUUCCUGGAAUCAUUUUCAGCAUGGCCUCCUUUUUAGAUUUCACUCGGUAUUAGACCCCGAUUUACCUAACUACACUGACUACCUAACUUUAAAUCUGGCUUCAUUCCCCCCUCUAAUUUGGGAACUCCUUACUGCUGUAAGGAAGGGGGGCGAAGAAGAUCUUUCUGGCUUCUUCAGGCUGAAAAGGGACGGUGUGGGGCAAGCAGUUUGGAGUCCCCCUUUAAAAAUCGGGUCUAUCGAGUGGUCCAUGAUAAAAGUCCGAUUGAGAAGUAAUAGGCUGGAGGGCCAUUUGAGUGAUGGGUGGUCUAUAAGAGAAACAAGAAUUCAUUAGUACUGGAACCAUAUUGAUGCAGCAAUAAAUGCCACCACACAGGAAUAUGCCAAUGAGUAUGAUGACAAAGACAAAGACUAACAAUGUUUUCCACCAGGAAGUACCAAGAACCAGGAGCUAAGAUGUUGUUUCCAUGACAAAGUUGCUGAGGACAUGGCUUCUAUCUGAGCAUGUAAAUCUUUAAGGAUAUUUGUCACAUUGCCAGAAAUGUCAGGGAUGUAAACACAACAUUUAACAUUUAGGUUUACAGAUGUCCUUUCCCUUAAGAUAUAGUCUAAUAAUUUAAUGUCAUCUGAUCUAGCAAAAUCAUUUUACUAGUAUGACCUGUGUCUAAUAGAGAAAUCUUUAAUUCUGUUACUUAGGGCUGGAUAACCAUACUAGCAAACAUUAAGCCUACCUGUGUAG